AGAAGCCAAUCAAUGACAAGUACGUUGUAAGGUUGAUGAGAAAUGCUACAGUAACCCAUACCAUAAUACAUUUUCAUAACAGCAGCUGGCGAAACUAUUACUUCAACAGGCAGGACAAGUCCGGAACAACAACAUAACAGUCAUAGCCAGUAAACGACGCUUGUGUUUCAAGGCAAAUUACUGGGUACGAAACAGAUACAGUAGAAACUGUACGAUCUGUACAACAUGGUAUGACUUCUGAUAAAAGGUAAGAUUUACUAGUUCUUUAAAGUCUUUAACAUUAGAACAAAAUAUUCAAACCUUUUAGUUUCUGUAUACAAGAAAAACAGUACAAUAUAUAACAAUGCUCCACGGUCUUAUCACUGCUUGUUUCAUAUAUAUAAUUCGUAUAUAUAACUUAUGUAGCCUACAACAUAAUGUUCGUUGAACAUUGUAGUAAUGCAUUACCGAUUAUAUUCAGGUGUAUGUCAAUGUAUUUUUUUGUAAACAAAAAUUGACAAAAAGAAAUGACUUUUUUGACAUAGUACUGUGUAAAUACCAUUAAUAUAUACCAUUCAAGAGAAUACCAUUCAUAACCAUGGUUCAUAGUAUUACCAUCUGAUACGAUCACUGUAUGGUAUCACCACACUGCAUUUAGAUAAGAAUAAUCAGUUUUUAAUUAAAGAAUUUCUUAUUCUUUUUAUUUUAAUGAAAUAAUUAUGCUUUAUAUGAUCACAUAGUGUAAUAGUGAUUUUUGUUUUGUGUAUUUAUAUGAUGACUUGUAACAUUUCCCCUACAGCCAGCUCCUACGUGGUGCGCAAGAUCCGCUCUGCCCUUAAAGAGGGAGAGCAAACAGAACAACCUGUGCUUGCACCAUGUAGUCUGGCAAAAGGUAAAAAGGAGCGCUAUGCAUCAGAUGCAGCAUUAAUGCCCGCUCCAGAACCUGAGGGUGCUGCUGGGUCAUCUGCAUCUACAAGGAGAGCUGUACAGAAAUGUGGUUCCUGAGGUUAAAGGUCACGCAAAAGCAAAUCUGGGCACGACAGAGGCUGAUAAAAACAGCAUUGCUGGACACCAGCAUAUGUUGUGUUUUGAAUGCUGGUCUGCUGGUGUUCCAACAAGGCCAUCUAAGCUGGUCUUUCAAGUAGAGAUUUUAGAAGCGGAAGGCAGAUUGUGAUAAAGAUCUGACAUCAGUCCAGUUUUGCUCUGCGUGACCUUUUGUUCUUAGGUGCCAACACGUGCUCCUUCUCUCUUUUUUUGUCUCUCUCUUUUUCUGUUUCCCAUCUGCUGUAGUUUGUGAAGGUCUGUUCAUCAACCUCUGCCUCAGGGGCGGUUCAGAUCUGAUGUUUUCCUGCAGCUUUUGUAUUUAUACUCACCAACUAACUGACUGUACACUGACUAAAGACAUAUCACUGUCAGUAAAAAUAACAGCUGAUGCUGUUUAUACGAUUAUGUAAUUUUUGUAAUGACAAAAAUAACUAAUAAAACAGUCCAGUCUAAAAAACAUUAAAUUAGCAUUGUUCUGUAAUCUCUGGUACAUCUGUACUAACUUGUCCUAUCUAGGAAGUUAUAUUCUUUGAUCAGAUAAACACAUUUCUGUAUUUUUAUGAUGACAUCAUUCCUCGACAGGGUUAGAGAUGAUCUCUACAAUUAAAGGAUUUACUUAACAUGUUUCUUUGAAAAUGGAAUAUAUGCAUUUUAUCAUAUAUUUUAUCCCAAUAGAUUAAUUCAGGAAUUAAAGUGGGAUUUAGAUAAAUACUCAGGGUGUCAUAGUGAUCAUCACAGCAUGAGAUAGGAGACAUUAUUGCAGAAAAAAAAUAAUGACUGGAAAUUAUUUGCAGUAUAUAAUAUAAUAUACAAGGAGUCUAUGUAUAUAUGUUUGUAUAUAUAUUAUGGUGCAUCAAAUAAUCAAAUGUAUAAAGACAGCAAAUGUGCAAAAUAUGGGGGGAAAAAUGAAUAAUAUCUACCGGGUCCACAUGUGAUGCAAAAUAUUGUUACAAGGUCGAUAAUAAGCAGGUUUUAACAGAACAAAAAGAAUAAAAACCAGUUUCUGGCAGUGUUGGAUCAUUUUUUCUUUUUUUUUUCUUUAUGUUUUAUGUUAAAGCAAACUCAGCAAAUAGGUAUUAAUAAUGUUAAUAAUAGUCCUACAGUAGAGUUGCCUUGGUUUUUCUCAGUGCCUUCUGUGGAUCUUCAGAUAUUGAAAACUAUAAAGUAUAAACAAAAUCAAGUUCCUAAAGCGAUAGUACAGAAGAUUUAAUUUUGAGGUGGACCCUCGUGGAACCGUGUUCUUCUUUUCCGGAAACACUUGAUCACCUAUUCUUUUACUGUGAGGUUACUUCUAAAUUCUGGUUUUAUAUUCAUCGUUGGUUAUCAGUAAAAUGGAAAUGAUUCCCCAAUUGUUUUGCUAGACAUCCUCUUUUUUAAGUGUGACUUAAAUUCUCAUUUCUCAGAUGUUAUCAACUUUGUUUUAUUGCUGGGUAAAUAAUUAUCAUAUUCAUACAUGCAAAUGGAGAAAAUGUAAGCCCUCCUUUAAUAUAUUUCUUUGUGAGUUUGUGAAAAUGUUUCAGAGCUUCAAAUAUUAAAAAAAAAACUAAAUCGAAAGUCUGAAACUCUGUUUCUCUCUCAAAAUAUUAUUUUAGUGUAUUCUUCUUUGAUGUCUUUAUGCACUUCUUGUAUCGACUCUUGCUCCUUGUGUUUUUUUUUUCUUCUCCUCGUUGCUAUUUUUGGUGUGAAUGUAAUUAUUAUUUAUGUUUAUUAUUAUUAUCAUUGGUGGAUGUGCCUUGUUGGAUGUUCCCUGUCUUGUAGUGUACUGUACAAUUUGCAAUAAUAAUAAUAACAAUAAUAAUAAUAAUAAAAAUAUAUUAGAUUAUAUAGUUUAUUUUGUGUUAUAUUAUACAUCUGUUUUAGGGUGCAACAGUUUUUCAGUUCCAGCAUGACAAUGCCCCUCUACAAUGGUGUGGAAAUGUAAACCAGAACAAAGCCCAGACCUGAAACAUAUUUAACGCCUUUGGGAUGAAUGUGAGACAGAUCGUCUGUCAGUGCCUGAUCUCACUGAUGAUCUUAUGUCUGAAUGGGACCAAAUAUCCACUGCUAUGUUCCAACACACAAUAAAAAAGCUUUACAUGAAGACGCUUUUAGAGAGGACUUACUCCGUAUAACGCCA
RNAcentral lists this long non-coding RNA (3139 nucleotides) under Sinocyclocheilus anshuiensis. Its description in RNAcentral is "lncRNA (ENSSANG00000029161.1)". The record is from RNAcentral. Lineage: Eukaryota; Metazoa; Chordata; Actinopteri; Cypriniformes; Cyprinidae.